RNAcentral lists this unclassified non-coding RNA (372 nucleotides) under uncultured bacterium. Its description in RNAcentral is "contains 16S-23S intergenic spacer region". The record is from RNAcentral.
UCCGCCUUACAGCGGCAGUUUGUUCCGAGUCCCCGACAUGACUCGCUGGUAACAGAACAUGAGGGUUGCGCUCGUUGCGGGACUUAACCCAACAUUUCACAACACGAGCUGACGACAGCCAUGCACCACCUGUGUACCACCCUCGCAGGCUGAUGGAUUUCUCCACCGUGCAGGUACAUGUCAAGCCCUGGUAAGGUUCUGCGCGUUGCAUCGAAUUAAGCCACAUGCUCCACCGCUUGUGCGGGCCCCCGCCAAUUCCUUUGAGUUUCAACCUUGCGGCCGUAGUCCCCAGGCGGUUCACUUAAUGCGUUAGCUGCGGCACCGAGUCUUACGACCCAACACCUAGUGAACAUCGUUUAGGGCCAAGAAUAC